UGUAGUAGUGGGUUUUUUUGAUAGCCACAUCAAGGUUGUGGUUUGCUAAGUUGCCUGAGUAGGAUCAUAGGGUCAGGGUGACAGUACUGAAAGUUCAGAGGCAAACUUCCUAGUGAUGAAUUGGUGGUGGUGAGAAGUUCUGGUGUGACUGAAGUGAUCUGUGGAUGGCACCUUUCAGACAGUGCGGUUGUAUGAGCUUCCUGAUGUGGUCCCAGUAUUGCAUCCCCUUUCUGUCUGCCCUGUGCUGGAGCCUGCCGACGGUGUGCUACCUCUUGUAAUGAUCCCUGCAGCUAGGAAAGAGCUCACUGGCUUAAUCCUUCCAUCCAUUUCUUAUGCAGGGAAAGAGAGAGGGGGUGGGAAGGGACACACGGGUGAAAAUUUCUGGCUGGAGGACCUGAGCAGGGCUGUGCUGCAGCACUUUGUUUCCACUCUGUCUUGUCUCCCACCUGGUCCUUAACAAUACCACUGUGGAUGGCCCAGCCCCAGACAACAGUAAUCAUUGCUUCCACGAGUCCUAUUGGUAACUGGUUUUGAUCUGCUUCUGGCUGCAUGGAGCCUGGACUGCAAGCCUCAAAGUAAGGGGCUUCUUCUGUGAGAUAGCUCCCUGAGCAGCUUUCCAGAAAAAGAUCAUCUAUUCUCAAAGCUCAAAACCCCAAGGGAGAAUACAGAGGAGCUGUGACUGAAGAAAAGACUGAGUUGGGGAUUUCAUGAAAAUGUGCAAUCUGAGCUGCCUGUGAUUUCUGCUAUUCUUUGCAUUCAUAUGGGAUCCAUGGACUCUGUACCUGACCAUGCUUUCCAGAUUGCUGACAUGAGAUACAUGAGCAAGAAUUAAUGAAUUAAGACCUCAGGAUCUUUGCAUUGUAAAAAAUCAAGACAGGUGUAAUGAGAAGUCUGUUGCAAACAAAUAACCUCACUUCUUAGACUUGAAGGUUAAAUAAUUCUGUAUAUAUUAGCAAAAUAAAUUACAAAGCAAAUGUUCUCAGGCACUGCAUCCAGAGGGACUCCAUUUUGCAGCUAAUUUAUUACUUGUUUUCAUGUUAGUUGGCCUGUCAGAAGAGCUACUUGUCCCCUGCAUGAGGUGUUAUUGUUGCUGCUAGAUGCUGUUCUCUGCUAACAGAAAUAACACUUUCCGAGUUUAAGAAUGAGAGACUAUAAAGCCCACAGAAACGAACAGCCUAGCACCGGGCAAACACUUGGCCUAGCAAACAAAAUGUGCCUUUUUGGUUUUGUGUCAUUGGCUAAGGUUAAGCUUUCCCCUAAGGGCGCAGGAGCGGACUGUGGGUGUUUACUGGAAGGGGCAGGAAGCGCAGGGUGCGGACGAAGCCCAGCUGAUGCCGGGCAGUGCAGCGCUGCGCAGGAGGCAGAUGCUUGUGCUGCUGAGUCACGGGUGGUUUGGAUUUUGUCCUUAAAGUUCCAGCUUCCGGAGUCAGGUGAACGUGUAAUUAGCGCAAGGCUUGGCUUUUGUCUUGCAAUUGUACUGUUUGAAACCUGAGAGCUUUGCAUUGUUUUAGUGCACCUCCCUAACUUGAACGCUGGGCAGUAAACCUGAAAUACAGUGUCAGAGGUUUCGUGGCAUUUUUUCUUCUCUGCCAUGUGUAGGAGCUGAGGCCUAAAGGAAAAUACUGCAUGUUCCUCCACUUGCUGCAAAAUCACCAGACCUGGUGUACUAGGUGUAAACAACUCCGCAUCCAGUGCAGCAGGGCGUGCUGGCUGCCUCCUGCACCAGCCUCCUGGCAGCACCAUGGCUGGGACCAAAGCAGAAGCCCACUUGCCAUGCCCCAUGCCAGAAACACAAGAUUUCAGAAAAACGGGGUUUAAGCCUUGCCCUUGACACCUCCGUUCAAAAAGCACUUUUGAAAUGAUCAGGAGUGAUAUUUUGGCCAUACCAGCUCAUUCAAGCAUUUGGAUCGCUGCUAGAAGUGUGAAGCGUGAGGGGCUGUGGAGCCCAGGUCUCGCAUAAGUCUUAUGUGUGAAACUGAGUGUAGUUUGUACAGCAAAUAGGUGAAACUCUGCCGAUUUAAUUCAGAAUGUAGUAAUUGGCAGCAGUUCAGACUCAGAAGACCAACUGUUAUUCAGGGGUGUGUGUGUGACAUUUAUUUGUAAUCACUGCUGGCACAGUAAAGGAAUGUGCGUGCUUUUAUUUUUGCUGUGUGGCUUUGCAAGCCUCUCUGCAUAACAAGGGCCUACUGAUCUCAAUUGAAGCAGUGUUCACUGAAGCAGUUGUCUUUUUAUUUGCUUCCAGAGAGGUGUAGUUGUAAAUAAAUUAAUCCUGAGUUGCCAGCUUACUGUUGGCAAUCCUCUGUUCGAGUUGAGGCACGAUCCUUGCAGUCAUGCCUGCGUGCCAAGGAGGACCUGGUUAAUGCCUGUCAACAGAAACCCUUGCUGAAUGCAGGAGUCGUAAGUUACCGGUUCCUCGACUGGCUUGCGUAGAAGAGACAGUCUUUCACCUCUUUUCCCUAUUAAUUAUAGGGCUGGGUACUGAAUGAUCCAGAACCCUGUUUAGGAGACGUGGCCACUCCCUUAGGAAUGGGAUGCCAUUUGCCCAUCACUCUGAAAGCAUUGCUCGCCCCCUGAGGCUUAUGGUUAAAAAUAAAAACCUUAUACAACCCAAGUACUGAUAACAGAGAUGGGCUAGAGAGGUGUGCAGAAAUAAAAUAUUUUUUUAAUUUCUAAUGAGUAACUUUUAAUCCUCCUGCCCCCAUUUAAUUGAACUACAAAGAUUUUGGGGGUACUUGUGAGAGGUGGAAGUGCUUCAUCCUAAAUCUUGCCUUUGUUAAAGGGAGCUCUUGAUUAAGAGAGUGCGGUCUUCCUUUGCAUGGAAACAGGAGAUUUUGAGUGUAUAUUCAGCAUUCUUCAUUCCCCUGCUGUAAAUUUCUUGAUCAAUUAGUUAUUCAUGGCAUUUGUUCUAGCACUCUUCCUACCAGGUCAUUGACCUUUCCACUUUUUAAGGCUGGAACAGCUGAUGCCAUUUGGGUCAGAGCAGAGCUCUCCUUCUCAGAGCAAUGACUUCCCUAGUGCUUCCCACACUGAAAACAAAUCACAGAGUGUACCUUCUGCCUAGCAGGGCCGUUUUCACAUCAGUGUAGAAGCCCAUUUUCAUACAGAAGCUGUUUUCCUGCAAAUACAAAUGUUUUAGUGAUUAUAGUGAUUUAGGUGACCUAAAUAAGCUACUAACAUUGGAGUGUGUUCAUAAAGUUCUUAAAGCACAAAGAUCAGAAGCUAGAAAUCUUGGAGGUGGGUAGGUUUUUGUAUGUGGUGUGGUUUGGGUUUUUGGUUUGUUCAGUUGUUUUCAUUUUAUUAAAAAACUGUCUUAUUGCAGAGGGAAUCCUAAAAAAUAUUACUCUAGGACUUCUUAAAUUACUAGAAACCAAGGAAAACAAGUUAAAUUAUAGAAGUUUGCAUAUGUAAUAUAUAUAAAAUGCAUACUUAAUAUAGAGGUGUAGGCACAAGCAGACUAUUGUGAUUUUUGGACUUGCACAGGUUUGUUGUGCUUUGUGCCAGUGAUGGGAAAGGCAUGAGGUUGGACUGAAGCUGUAGCAGUACAUGGAAGGUGAGGGACCUUUUUGGAAGGGCUGACUUAACGUGGGCAAAUGAGGUGGUCUGGAGCUGAAAUGACAAGAGAGAUGCAUGUCAGCUGUGUGUGGCAGGGCAGGAGGUCAAGGCAGAAGAAAAAUGGUAAGAAAAGGCAUGAAACCAACAGGUAAUGCUUGCCUAAUUCUUCAGCAAAGCUCUGGGAACUCCGCUUGCAACAGCAACCAGAGAAAGGAAAGCAAAUGUUUUUGGUGACCCUGAUACAAGGAAAAAAAAGAAUGUGAGAGCUUUGCUGAAGAACUUUAGAUGUGUUUGAUAUUAAGUCCUUUUGGGGAAGGAUAACUUGAAAAGUCUGGUUUGGUUGAUAGGAAAAAAGAGUCCAUUUUGGGAAUGGAGUAGUGAUUGGAAAUGCUAUGCAAAUAGUAACAGGUGUCCACAGGAUACCUCUCUAGGUAAGCCAAAGGGGGUGUGUUACUUCAAAAUGAAGUCUGUAAAAGACAGAAGGGGACUGACUUUGAUACCUUGUUCUGCUUACAAGUAGUGGCCUCAGUAUAAAGUCUGGUUUUCUUCACUAUGGGCCUGAACAGUUCCCUCCCCAAUCCAGCUGGUCAGGGUAAUGUAAACUAUUUCUGUUUCUCCUUCCUUGCUAUUUGCAGGAUAAAGAGUUUGGUUGGAUUUUUUUUUUUAAAUAUAUAGCAGGCAUGUCAUUAACUUCAUUAAAGAGGUUAAAUUAACUUAAUUUUUUGUUGUUGUUGUCAGUGUCCCCCUUCCCUGUUUAACUCUCAUCUUUAUCUCCUCAGAGAACAAACGCCAGUCCUGGGGCAGCUGCAGUAUCUCUUGGGCCAACCCUACUAUACAAUGAAGGAAGUCUGAAACUGACUUUUUUCUUUUUUUUUUCUUCAUCAGACCUUGUACAUGAGCUAAACCCUUACUGAAGACAAAUUACUUGAUGCCUUCCCAGGGUUUCUCUGCAUUGUUUGUGAAAAAGAAUUGAAGUUUACAGUAUGAGUGUGCACUGAAGCUUUUUGUAAUUGAGCAGGAGUUUCUGGUGAACAAUGACUUCAAAUCAUAGCAGAAAUUUCCAUUCCCUUCUUCAGCAACAACAUUGGAAAUAGGCGUGUAGUUUGGUGACUGCUUUAUGAGAUAUCUUGGUUGCAGAGACGGGCAUAUAUGUGUUCCCUUGAAGAAAAAGGAAGAACCGAAACUUGCUUUGUUCUUCAGAUAAGACUGUUUCUAUUCUCUGUCCUUAUACAAAGUCUGGAGCUGUGGGCUGGAGGGAGUCCCAGGAGCCAGUUAUCUGUGCCUCUGUGCUGAUGUGAGGUCAAGUGUACUUGGCCCUCCCUAACCCAUGUUCUGCUAGUGUCUGCUCUUGAAAACCUCCGGGGAGGAUUUUCCAGUCUCCCUAGCUAGUCUAACUUUGUGUUUCAUCUCUUUCUCAGUGCUUUCAGCAUUUUCGCUGCUAUUUAAGCUGUGCUAGUUGUUGCAAAUUAAGCUAAAGUUCUUGUUUUCUUUUUUCUAGCAGCCAUGGGAAAAUAAUUGCUUCUUGCCUUCUUUUAGUUUGAAAAAUGAUAUCAUAUCUCUCUGGCAUAAUUUGUUUUUAUUCCUAAUCAAAUAUGGCAAGUGUUGUGUUGUGUUGUCCCUGUCAUCUUGUUGUGUGUUCGUCCCCUUGUCCCCCCUUGUUCUCUUCUAAAUUUCCAUUUUGAAACUGUUGCAAUAGAAAUGGGGUCUAACAGAUCACGGGGUUUUGAUGAAGUUUUGUUAGUGUGGUAAACUGAAGAUACACGGUUAGUGUAAUACUUACAGCUUCCCUUCUGGAUAUCCAAAUGCUAAUUAAUUUCACUCUGUCCUUCCCAGAGCCCUCUUGCAUACUUCUCACUUUGUUUUCCUGCAUGCCUCCCAAAGCUGAAUUUUACUGUACUGUCCCUCUGGUUUAACGCUAACAGCUGCUCAAUCAAGGAGGCAGAGGGAGAGGCUGCAAAAUGCCAAAGGAAAACUAUCUUCCUUAGCAGCUUUGUGACUCCUGCAUAAAGACUAGACUUUCCCAUGGGAUGCAGGAGAGGUUCAGAAGCGUGAAUGCUAGUCAGACCAUUAUGAUCAUCUAGAAAAUGUCACCCUGUAUUUCCUAUAGCCAUCUCUUCUGGCUGAAAUCUGGCAGGCACGUUGUACUUAACACUAGAUGUCUCUUUCUAAAGACUUCAAAUGACUGAUAAUGUAUCAUGUUACUUGUGUGGAUUAUUUAAUCAAAUACUGCUGUGGAAAAAAAGCAUAAAUGUUAUCUCUAGUUAAGGAUUCCUCACCAGUCCUUGCCUUUUGCCUCCUUUGCACCUCCUUCUGAUCCAAUGUCCUCUGCUCCUUGUAGGCAUUUGGCAGCAAAUGUGUUUGAUUUUUCCCGCCACAGGUAUUUAUUAAAUCAGACAAAAGGGUGGGAAAUCCCCCACCAUAUCUGUGGUCAAGGUUUAUCCUAAAGUUUUAACAUUUGUUAAUGAUAGACCUGAAAGGAUUUCAAGGUAUGUCUGCUGUAAGUAAAGAAAAUUGACUGAAAUGAUGUUCUUUAAGUGGCUGUCUCUCCAAAACAGUAUCAUGUGCUUGUUCAUCCUUGUGUCACCGUAGCUGUGAACGGCAGCUGUACCGAGAGCAGGAUAAUUUAAGAGUUUUGGUUGCACUCCUAAGUGUUGAACUGAAGAAAAUAUUUCACUUAUGCUGUGUGAGUGGAACAGCCAGUUUCUCUCCCAAGGAGGAUAAGCACAAAGCUGAACUGAAAUUACUCAUUGUUUGUUUGCAUUUGCGUUCAGCAGGAGAGCCAGUGCUAGAGGGCCGGUGUUGCUGAAUCACUGAUUGCGGUUUGCUUUCCUACGACAGCGAGAGGUGAUGGGUAUGAAUAAUGCUGAGGUCUAAACGUGUGUUAAUACUUGUGCUGUCUUUCUCAUGCAUAUGUGGGACCUUGCCAUGUCAACAGCAAUUCCUCCCUUCCCCCUCUCCAUCCCUAUCAGUCAUUUCUAAAGCUAUUUGCAUGUGAAUCCCUAUGGGCACCCCUUGCAACACUGGGGCUGACCUGCUAAAAGUAGGUCUCUUGGGCUUUCAAUCAUUUUGCCACACAUAAUAGCUAAAUAAUCCUGCCUGCCUGCAAGGAAAUGACCUGCACACAGAAGGAAAGGGCAGAUGAAGGCUCUUACACAGAGAACCGCUCAGAUUGGCAUGCUGGUACAGAGCACUAAAUCACAGAAAAGCUAUGAAACUGCUCCCAGCUUCCUGAAGUGCAGAUGCCUUGAGCACUUUACUGGGUGGUAUUGACUGCAACUCAUUGCGUUAGCAAAGGGUCCAUAGUGUCUGCUCUCCUGGAGAGUCAUCUGCAUUAACCAUGCUUCCUUAACGUGUGUCUCUGCUGGCAAUCACAACUGGUUAAUGAAGAUAAUUUUUCACGUUGUUUGUUGUGUUAUUAGGUCUUGGUCAUUAGAUAACAGUACCUGACAACUAUGCUGAAGUAUGGCUGCAGCAGCAACCUUCUCCGAAGGCUCAGUUGGUAGCACAGCUACUGUAGGGUGGAAGAUGCAGGUUUCAGAUGGGUAACAUCAGACAGUGUCAUGCUUAACACUGUCAAGGGUUUGGAGCUUUUAUUUUUGCAGAAAGUGUGGUUUCACCUGCAAUCUUUCAUAACUAUUCUACCACAGAUAGCAAUGAGAGAGCAGCACUGCGGCAUUUGUAAAGCUGGUUUUGCUUAGAGGAUGGUGCUGCGAGUGCAGCUGUUGCUGGCAACUGGAGUGGCUUGGCAUUAUGUUAGGCAAAAUGGCAUUCGCGUAAUGAGUAUGGAAAAAACCAUGAAAAACAGUUGUAGGAAAUACUGUUUGGAAAAGCAUAUUCAGAUUCAUUAACAUACAACAUAACUAAUACUCUCCUUGUGCUGAAGCAUUUACUUGUGGUUAUAUAAUAAAUAUAGAUUUAUUUUUACAGAUAUAUUUUUAUAUGGGGAAAAUAUGUAGUGCUAUCCCAGCAGGAUAAUAACUCAACAUGGAGCAGAGGAGCUAAUAGUUUUAUAUACUGCCCUUAUCAAAAUCUCUAGGCAUUGCACAGUGCAACCCAAUAAAUAGCAUAAGAAGUUAGGAGCAGUAGCAAUUGUAUUUUUUCAUUAUAGUGUUAAUGAGCACUUGGAAAUUUUAGUCAGUGCAAUGUGCUUCUGGUCAUCCUCCAGUUGAGUGGUGAAACUCAAAAAGGCUUAUUUUUCAAACUGUUUGCAUAAAUAUAGCCUUGAUAUUGUUUGAAAUAUGGUGACGGGAUGCUCCAGAACUAGGUUGUCUGUAUGCAAAUGAUCAUAUGAUGCAAAGAUGAAGAGAAGGGGAAAAAUAACCCAUUUUAAGCUUUCGAGACACAUUUUAUCUCCUUAUGGAGGGGCCUGUACAACUACAGAACUCGUGGGAGGAGAAAAGGUAAGCAUGUAAACUUAGGAAGCCUGCUAUCGCUAUACCUUCUGAUAAUAAGUUUUCUAAGAUCCUGAAUGUUGACUGUUUCCUUCUAACACCCUCUCUUCUGCUGAGACCUCCAGGCAAUUUUUUCAAGACACAAUUUUUACUGGACCUAUUUACUGAAAUAAUUGGGGGUAGGCUUUUUCCUCUUCUUCUCCCAGUUCACCUGUCCAUCUUAAAAUAACUGUGGAGAUUUUCUACCUUAUUAGGAACCAAAUUGAUUUUUCUAAGGAGUUCUUACGCUGGUUGUAGAGAGCAUUUUGCUCCUGUGACUUGAGAGUUGUUUGAUAAAUUGCUUAUACAUGUCAGCUUAAGCUCUGAAAGUGUCCUUAUAAGUUUAACUGAUGUCUUUGGCUUCAGCACUAAAACCCGCACAAUUUUCUUGCAAAUUAAUAUUCUGUUUCUGACACAAUUACUGCUGUAUUUUUGAGUGGGUUUUCUGUGGAUGUUUUGCCAUUAUCACUGGGGCAUGAGGCCAGCUGUUCUGCUCUUCUGAAAGUAGGACUUCUGAAAAAUAAUUGGAAAUUAUUAAAUUAGUAAUUAAGUUGAUGAUGUAACUCUCCUCUUUUGUUAAAUUGCAACAUAUUAAUGUAAAUAAAUGGUAACAGUUUGGGGCAGGUGCAUGUGUUUUAAAUAAUUUGGACUGCUGAUUGUGGUUUUCCUGCUCUGGACAUGGCUUGGGAGAAUAGAGACUAUUGACUUCGGGAUACUUAAACUUUCACAUGCAAAUACUCUCAUUGAAUUCAGAGAAAGUAACAACCUGUGAAAGUUAUAGUCCUGUUUAAGUCUUCACAGAAGUAUGGUUAUUGUUUGUCGAUACAAUUUCCACAUCCUUCCUGGGAAAACUGUUCUAAAGCUGUACUAUGCUGCAGUUAGAUGUCAAACCUUAAGUUUUCUGCAGCAAUGUUAGUCCCUUGUUUACUGCAAUCUGUUUGCCAUUUCUGAUGUGAAUAGGAAAAAAAAAAAAGUAGUUAAAGACCAUUACAACUUUUCAAGAUUCAUUCCCCUCUGUUUCCUGCUGCUUAGUUCCACAGUCUGUCUGGUGGUUUUUGUUUUUUUUCUUUCCUCCUUCUUUUUAAUUUAAAGAAUUGGAUGCCCGCCAGGCUUCAUGUGUUGUCUUUUACUUAGGACAGGAAGACACACUGGGUGUUAGCUUGUGACUAUUAGCAUCCCUUUCACUGUGGUCGGAACAAUAAAUUUGGUGUCUCAAAUUCAGAUGUGGGUUUUGUUUGUAUGUUUAGAAGCUAUUAUUCAGCCAACAGGGAACAGAGCAGUGUAGAACUGUUGAUUAUUCCUAGAAGUGGCUGAUUAAAAACUAGAAUGAACUAACAACAUAUUCCAAGAACCACGACUCAUCCUUGGAGUGUCCUUAUUGAAAUUUUUCUGAGGACUGAGAUCUGUGGAGAAAAACAAUGGGAGAGCAGAUGUAUUAGUUAUAAUUUUGUACACAAGAACAUAAUUCCUAAGUUACCCUUUCUGUGGUAAAAGGGGUGCAGGAAAUCAGUCCAAGAGAUAAUAAGUAAUGAAUGCUAAAACCUGAUAAUCUCUAACAGCCAGCAGAUCAUUUUUCUUCUGGUCUUCUUUUAAAGAAGGCAAUAUUCUAAAAAUACUGGAAAUGUACCCUAGUGUUGUGUGUCCUGUUAAAUGAGGAUAUUGAAAAAGAACAAAUAAAAGAAGCAUUUUUCUGUUUCAUGGAUAUUCUACUACUCUAACAUGUAGUAUCAGUCCAUAAGACAAUGCCUAGACAGUAUGAAAAGACAAUUGGAAAGCAUGAAAGAUCUUCAUGCUCUGCUGCUUUGAGAAUCUUCUUUUCCU
Falco peregrinus (peregrine falcon) is the source of this 9803-nucleotide long non-coding RNA. RefSeq lists it as uncharacterized. NCBI's taxonomy places the organism in Eukaryota, Metazoa, Chordata, Aves, Falconiformes, Falconidae. The record is from RefSeq and is a predicted model, not a curated record. The transcript has 3 exons.